GACGAACGCUGGCGGCGUGCUUAACACAUGCAAGUCGAGCGAGAAACCUUCGGGUUUCUAGCGGCGGACGGGUGAGUAACACGUGGGUAACCUGCCUCAAAGAGGGGAAUAGCCUCCCGAAAGGGAGAUUAAUACCGCAUAAGAUUAAAGCUUCACAUGGAGCUUUAAUUAAAGGAGUAAUCCGCUAUGAGAUGGACCCGCGUCGCAUUAGCUAGUUGGUGAGGUAACGGCUCACCAAGGCGACGAUGCGUAGCCGACCUGAGAGGGUGAUCGGCCACAUUGGAACUGAGACACGGUCCAGACUCCUACGGGAGGCAGCAGUGGGGAAUAUUGCACAAUGGGCGAAACCCUGAUGCAGCAACGCCGCGUGAGUGACGACGGUCUUCGGAUUGUAAAGCUCUGUCUUUUGGGACGAUAAUGACGGUACCUGAGGAGGAAGCCACGGCUAACUAC
This 453-nucleotide ribosomal RNA is filed under the name uncultured bacterium. RNAcentral's name for it is "bacterial SSU rRNA". It matches the Rfam family "Bacterial small subunit ribosomal RNA", at positions 28 to 504 of the family's 1533-position model. The record is from RNAcentral.